RNAcentral lists this ribosomal RNA (441 nucleotides) under uncultured bacterium. RNAcentral describes it as "partial 16S ribosomal RNA". It matches the Rfam family "Bacterial small subunit ribosomal RNA", at positions 338 to 795 of the family's 1533-position model. The record is from RNAcentral.
CCUACGGGAGGCAGCAGUGGGGAAUAUUGCACAAUGGGGGAAACCCUGAUGCAGCGACGCCGCGUGAGUGAAGAAGUAUUUCGGUAUGUAAAGCUCUAUCAGCAGGGAAGAAGAAAGACGGUACCUGACUAAGAAGCCCCGGCUAACUACGUGCCAGCAGCCGAGGUACUACGUAGGGGGCAAGCGUUAUCCGGAUUUACUGGGUGUAAAGGGAGCGUAGACGGCUGUGCAAGUCUGAAGGGAAAGCCCAGGGCUCAACCCUGGGACUGCUUUGGAAACUGUGGAGCUAGAGUGCUGGGGAGGUAAGUGGAAUUCCUAGUGUAGCGGUGAAAUGCGUAGAUAUUAGGAGGAACACCAGUGGCGAAGGCGGCUUACUGGACAGUAACUGACGUUGAGGCUCGAAAGCGUGGGGAGCAAACAGGAUUAGAUACCCGUGUAGUC